This 375-nucleotide unclassified non-coding RNA is filed under the name soil metagenome. RNAcentral's name for it is "partial contains 5.8S ribosomal RNA, internal transcribed spacer 2, and large subunit ribosomal RNA". The stretch from base 1 to 120 matches the Rfam family "5.8S ribosomal RNA", at positions 35 to 154 of the family's 154-position model. The record is from RNAcentral.
GAUGAAGAACGUAGUGAAAUGCGAUAAGUAAUGUGAAUUGCAGAAUUCAGUGAAUCAUCGAAACUUUGAACGCACAUUGCGCCCGCCAGUAUUCUGGCGGGCAUGCCUGUUCGAGCGUCAUUUCAACCCUCAAGACCCCUUCGGGGGACUUGGUGUUGGGGACCGGCACAGGGGCCUGCCUGCUUGUCUUGCAGCGCCCUCGCCGCCCCCGAAAUGAAUUGGCGGCCUCGUCGCGGCCUCCCCUGCGUAGUAGCACAACCUCGCAACGGGAACGUGACGGCGGCCACUGCCGUAAAACAACCCCAAUUUUAUUAGAGUUGACCUCGAAUCAGGUAGGAAUACCCGCUGAACUUAAGCAUAUCAAUAAGCGGAGGA